GAUGAACGCUGGCGGCGUGCCUAAUACAUGCAAGUCGAGCGAACAGAUGAGGAGCUUGCUCCUCUGACGUUAGCGGCGGACGGGUGAGUAACACGUGGAUAACCUACCUAUAAGACUGGGAUAACUUCGGGAAACCGGAGCUAAUACCGGAUAAUAUAUUGAACCGCAUGGUUCAAUAGUGAAAGACGGUUUUGCUGUCACUUAUAGAUGGAUCCGCGCCGCAUUAGCUAGUUGGUAAGGUAACGGCUUACCAAGGCAACGAUGCGUAGCCGACCUGAGAGGGUGAUCGGCCACACUGGAACUGAGACACGGUCCAGACUCCUACGGGAGGCAGCAGCAGGGAAUCUUCCGCAAUGGGCAAAAGCCUGACGGAGCAACGCCGCGUGAGUGAUGAAGGUCUUCGGAUCGUAAAACUCUGUUAUUAGGGAAGAACAAAUGUGUAAGUAACUAUGCACGUCUUGACGGUACCUAAUCAGAAAGCCACGGCUAACUACGUG
RNAcentral lists this ribosomal RNA (497 nucleotides) under uncultured bacterium. RNAcentral describes it as "partial 16S ribosomal RNA". It matches the Rfam family "Bacterial small subunit ribosomal RNA", at positions 28 to 507 of the family's 1533-position model. The record is from RNAcentral.